Molecule: ribosomal RNA, 206 nt
Filed under: uncultured bacterium
Lineage: Bacteria
Description: partial 16S ribosomal RNA
Rfam family: Bacterial small subunit ribosomal RNA
Source: RNAcentral
UGCGUAGGUGGUUACCUAAGCAGGGGGUGAAAGGCAUUGGCUUAACCAAUGUUAGCCCCCUGAACUGGGCUACUUGAGUGCAGGAGAGGAAAGCGGAAUUCCUAGUGUAGCGGUGAAAUGCGUAGAUAUUAGGAGGAACACCAGUGGCGAAGGCGGCUUUCUGGACGAAAACUGACGCUGAGGCUCGAAAGCGUGGGGAGCGAACA